AGUAAUUGCCAAGAGUUGAGUAAGUUGCUGGAGAACGUGACCCAGGGCUUGCCACCCACCCAUUCAUUCAGCAGGGACAAUGAGGAGUGGAGUGUGCAGAGGCAUAUCAGUCACAGUCCACGAAUCCACAGCGAAGCCGCAGAGCCUGGUUUGCUACCCUGUUCUCAACCUUUGCGCUUCUCUCUGCUACUCUAAGCUCCACCCCUUUUCCCGUGAAGGUCCAAUGGCACGAAGGUCCCAUGGCCCACCUAUGCAAGACAUGUUGUCCUCUCAGCAUGGACGACUCCUUGGAUAGCUUUCCCUCUGUGCCCAGACAAGGAUGAAUUUUGUUCUCAUUGUUUUCUGGAAGCUUCUAUGCCUGGAGCUGGCUGGCUACCACUGCGAUAUGAUCCCAUAGGGUCC
RNAcentral lists this long non-coding RNA (402 nucleotides) under Mus caroli (Ryukyu mouse). RNAcentral's name for it is "predicted gene 28610 (MGP_CAROLIEiJ_G0002415.1)". Lineage: Eukaryota; Metazoa; Chordata; Mammalia; Rodentia; Muridae. The record is from RNAcentral.